This 531-nucleotide ribosomal RNA is filed under the name uncultured Spartobacteria bacterium. RNAcentral describes it as "bacterial SSU rRNA". It matches the Rfam family "Bacterial small subunit ribosomal RNA", at positions 9 to 519 of the family's 1533-position model. The record is from RNAcentral. Lineage: Bacteria; Pseudomonadati; Verrucomicrobiota; Spartobacteria.
GAGUUUGAUCCUGGCUCAGAACGAACGCUGGCGGCGUGGAUAAGACAUGCAAGUCGAGCGGGGCAAACCGUGUAGCAAUACAUUGUUUGUUCAGCGGCGAACGGGUGCGUAACACGUGGGCAACCUGCCCGGAAAUGGGGGAUAGCCCGCCGAAAGGCGGAUUAAUACCGCAUGUGGCCAUUGGAGACAUCUCCGAGACGCCAAAGUCGGGGCAACCUGACGUUUCCGGAUGGGCCCGCGGCCUAUCAGCUUGUUGGCGGGGUAACGGCCCACCAAGGCUAUGACGGGUAGCUGGUCUGAGAGGACGACCAGCCACACUGGAACUGAGACACGGUCCAGACACCUACGGGUGGCAGCAGUCGAGAAUUUUUCUCAAUGGGGGAAACCCUGAAGGAGCGACGCCGCGUGGAGGAUGAAGGUCUUCGGAUUGUAAACUCCUGUCAUUAGAGAACAAGACCCACUUAGUAACUGAUGUUGGGUUCGAUAGUAUCUGAAGAGGAAGAGACGGCUAACUCUGUGCCAGCCGCCGCC